UUUUUUUUUUUAAGAUUUUAUUUAUUUGUGAGAGACACACACACAGAGAGACAGAGAGACAGAGAGAGAGAGAGAGGCAGAGACACAGGCAGAGGGAGAAGCAGGCUCCAUGCUGGGAGCCUGACAUGGGACUCGAUCCUGGGUCUCUAGGAUCAAUCACAUCCUGGGCUGAAGGAGGAACUAAACCGCUGAGCCACACAGGUUGCCCCCUGCUCCACUGUAUUUUCAUACAUGUGGUCUUUCUCUUUCUCUCAUUCCCAUCCAGUAAAGCUGCAGAUUUAUUGCUUUUCCUGUUUCAUAAAGAUGAGGAACCUGAGAGCAUAGAGGUUCCAUGAUUUGCUCAAAGUCACAUAGGCAGUCUGAGGCACACAGCUAUGCACUUAUAAUUAGGUGGUCUGCUUGUUUUUGCUGUGUCAUAUCAUUUUAGAUAGAAUCCAGCCUUCUCUAGACCUCUCUGAAUAAUCCUCAAGGCCCAGGCCCAUCUCUGUCAUUCCUUUUCCCCUUUCUGUGUUCCUUCUCCUGCCAGCUGCCUCCUUGAGACACACUCCAGCAACUCAGAUGCUUUAUCUAGCAGGUGCUCAAUGGCUCUUCUGGGGGAAAAUGGCCACAUGACCUUCAUGCCAGGAGCACUUGCUUCACCAUUCACGAUUCCAGGAGGCCCUCGGGGCUGACCUCGCUUCUCCAAGGGUUGGCCCUGAGGUGGGAUAAAUUCUGGGGACCAGUACAGCUGAUACUGUCACAUACUGGACACAGAGGAGCUGCAGGCGCCCACCUGGUAACUGGCCAUGCCCUGGAUCAGCCCCACUGCAAAUAAGCCAGUGGAAAUAUGCCAGCUCCGGACACUAUAACUCUAGGCACCAUUCUCCAAGGGCCUCCCAAGUUAUUCCACGGUGUGGGGAAAGGUGUGGUUGUCAUAAUUCUUUUUAAGCUGAGAGACCUUCUUGGCACAGUGUUUUAGCUCCUGGCUUUGAGAAAGGGAGGACGGCAGGCUGGCCGAGGGUCCGCUCUCUCAUCCCCAAAACUGAGCAAGUUCUGAGUCGGUGACAAGGUAUUUAAGAGAUAAAGAGACCUUUCUGGUAGGGAGACUGAAGACUGUGAGCCAAAGGCUCUCUAGAAAUAAACACAAUAUGACAGAGCCUGAAGCCAGCUAACCAGCCCUUUCAGUACCCUAGGCUCAGUCCAUGUUCUGAGUGUGAUCAUCAGAAUGUAAUGUGGUGGACGUUAUUAUCUUAGUUCACCACAGAAAAGCCUGUGCUGAAAAAGAUUUAAUGUUAUGCCCUUAGCCUUUAUAGAGGGUCGAUAGGAGAAACAUUUGAGGAGCAUUUACCUGCUGUUAUAGAACUGCAGGGAAAGACUGUGGCCAUUAUGCUCCCUGGUGUCCCUACACAGCCCCGACACAAUAAAUUCUCUUUCUACCCAUUGCUGGGGAAGAUCCAGCUUCCUGCUUGCAUUCCUUCUCUGUUCAGACAUCUCUGACUGGACAACCAAACAUACAUCCUUGUCUUUCUUCUUUUCGUCUUAGUUUUUAUUAAGCCUGGCCCCAAAUCCCAUGCUCAGUUGAAAUACUGAGCCAGUCCCUGUCGCUCCAACAUAUGUUUCUCCCCACUUUCUUCUUAUCUACUUCUUUUAAUUAUGAUUUUGCAUACGACUAGUUCUGUAGGAUGCUCAGAUCUUGCUCCCAUUUAACAAAAGAAGACACAACCGAUGAUUAAUAGGCAGAGAGAGAUGAAAGAGAGGUAGGUAGGUAAGUAGAGCAAGCCAGAUUUGGAUGAAUGAUGAGAGGGGACGGGUGUGUGAAUAGACUAACCUGAGUUUCAUCAUUUCAUCCACACAGUUAGCCCAAAAGGGAAUCAGGAGUCCACAGCCAGCCCAAGAUUAUUAGCCCAAGAUUUCCAUUCAUUCCUAACAAAAAUAUGUUCACUAUCUAUAAUCUGAACACAGAUUUCUCUAGGACACAAUUCAUGUUUUAUUCAUAUUUAUAUUGAACACAAUGCUGCCAUAUAGUAGGUGCUCACAAAAUGUUUGAGGCAGCGUUAAUUUAAUUAAACUAGAAAUUUACUCUACCAGGUGCAAUACACAAUGCCUAAAGCCCACCACAUCCUUGAGGAGAUACAAUUCACAAACCUGUAUAGAUCACAAUGGCCAUAUAAUCAAUACAUCUUUCCUAGACUCUCCAGGCUGAUCAUGUCAGAUCUUGUACACUCCUCCCACAGUCCAUUCUCUUGCUGUUUUCCCAUCUACAGUGCCCACCUCCUCCCAUCAGGUUAACCAGCCCCUGUCUACCUUUGAGACUUAAAUCAGGUCUUACCACCAUAAAACUUGUUUCCAAUUCCAGCCAGCCCACAUGGAUUCCCCCUUCCCUGAUCAUCCACUGCACAGGAGGCUUCUUAGGCACCUCCAACAGCCUGUGACUCGCCCACCCAAACAGCCCACGGGCAACUCAAUCUCCACCUGUCCAAAGCGGAACCCACCUCCCACCAACUGCCAUGUAAUCUGAGAGGUUGAGUGCGCAUGCGGGUCCUGCAGUAAAACUACCCAAAAUCAGAUCCUGGCGGCAUUAUUUUGUCAAGGUUCAACCAGAGAAGCAGAACCACUAGAAGAUAUUUCUCUAUAUACAUGUAUAAACCUGUAGGAUAUGCAUGUGUGUAUAGGUAUCCAAACACACACAUGUAUAGGCACACCAUAGAUGCUUAUGUGACCCUAAAUCCUUACAUAAAGGAUUUUUUUUUUUUACAGAGAAAUUGCCCUGCACAAUUGUGGGAGCUUUCUCUCUUAGAUGUGUCUUUGCAUCUGGUAUUGGAGCUUGACAUCUGUAGGGCAGGCAGUUGAGAAGGGAAUAUGGAGAGGAAGAAUAAGGUGGAACCCACAACUAUAUGCCAGAGUCUACAGGAUGGACUCAAACCUAUGUCAGCUCUACUUUUCCUCUGACCUGAGUGAGUGAGUGUCUUGCAGAACCCAGAGUCCUUUAUGACAACCUAAAUGCACACCUGGCUGAGGAGUUAGGAAAGCUAAAGGAGUCAGGAGAUGGUGAAGUGGAUGCAGGCUUCACAGCAACGAGGAGACAGCAGGUCAGGGAUAAUGUGUGUGAGCUAAAGGGCUGCUGCUUCCUUUCCACCCAUAAAUCUCCCACAAGAUUCUGUCUUGCAGCUCCCACCUUAACUCGUAUACAAGAACAAGAACUUUGAGGAUUCCCUUAACCCAGGCAAGUUCGCACAUUUCAAAGCCACCACAACCAUAUGUAAUCUUUGUGGUCUUAAACAAGUGGCUUAACUUGCAGAGCCUUGGUUUUCUCAUCUGUAAAAUGGCAAUAAUAUAAAGCAUUCUCAUGAAAAUGAAGUAUAAUUUUACCUACUGAUUUCUUAGCAUGCUGCCUGACACAGAGUCAGUGCUCCAUAGAUGUUCUCUAUUAAUAUGGCCUCUCCUGUUUUUUUCUAGCUCAGACAGUGGCUUUAAAAUCUAUCCCUUCACCAAGCAAGGCUUGACUCCCGGUAUGGCCACAUUAACUGAGACAUCAUGAAAAGAUUCUGCUUUUGCCAGGUGGCAUCUAGGGAGGCAGAUCUAUUUCCCAAGGGCCUGAGUGGUCCUCAGUGAGCUGGAGUCUUGAAAGCUGCACAUUCACUUUCCUUUCCAUCCAUGGCCAGUACCACAUACUCAACUGUCCUCCACCUGACAGCAGCAUCUCUACCUUCACACUAGCCACCAGACCACAGACUCAGGUGGGGGCCUCCAUGGGCUCCGGGACAAUGAUGAGGAUGAGGCUUCUGUCCAGGGCACACAGUGCUGGUUCUGGCUGGGGCAGGCAGCCCAGGAGGCCUCAGCUGGGAGCAGACAACCUGCAUCUGGGUCCUGGGACUGGAGCAUCGAGACCUGAAGCAUUCUCUUCCCAUUGGGGAAAAGGCAGCUCUUCAGAGCAGAGAAAGAAGCCUAAAUUACCAUGAAACCCUAGAGCCUGUGUAAGAUAUGGAAGCUCUGGUUUUUCCCCAAAGCUCUGGUGACCUAGGAAGUCCCAAGCUCCUUCCAGGAUGGGGGGAACAGGCUUGCCUGUGGCUG
This 4050-nucleotide long non-coding RNA is filed under the name Canis lupus familiaris (dog). RNAcentral describes it as "lncRNA (ENSCAFG00845005883.1)". The record is from RNAcentral. Lineage: Eukaryota; Metazoa; Chordata; Mammalia; Carnivora; Canidae.